This 382-nucleotide ribosomal RNA is filed under the name uncultured Glomus. Its description in RNAcentral is "bacterial SSU rRNA". It matches the Rfam family "Eukaryotic small subunit ribosomal RNA", at positions 569 to 957 of the family's 1831-position model. Lineage: Eukaryota; Fungi; Glomeromycota; Glomeromycetes; Glomerales; Glomeraceae. The record is from RNAcentral.
AGCAGCCGCAGUAAUUCCAGCUCCAAUAGCGUAUAUUAAAGUUGUUGCAGUUAAAAAGCUCGUAGUUGAACUUCGGAAUCAGUACGCCUGUCAUGCUUCGGUAUGUACUAGUGUCACUGAUUCCUUCCUUCUGACGAACCGUCAUGCCAUUAAUUUAGUGUGAUGUGGAAUCAGGACUGUUACUUUGAAAAAAUUGAGUGUUUAAAGAAGGCUCGCGCUUGAAUACAUUAGCAUGGAAUAAUGAAAUAGGACGUUUGAUCUUAUUUUGUUGGUUUCUAGGAUCGAUGUAAUGAUUAAUAGGGAUAGUUGGGGGCAUUAGUAUUCAAUUGUCAGAGGUGAAAUUCUUGGAUUUAUUGAAGACUAACUACUGCGAAAGCAUUUG